RNAcentral lists this long non-coding RNA (1941 nucleotides) under Macaca fascicularis (crab-eating macaque). RNAcentral describes it as "lncRNA (ENSMFAG00000063589.1)". Lineage: Eukaryota; Metazoa; Chordata; Mammalia; Primates; Cercopithecidae. The record is from RNAcentral.
UUUUUUUUUUUUUUUUUUUUUUUUAAGACAAGGUCCUGCUCUGCCAUCCAGGCUGAAAUGCAGAGGCAUGAUCUUGGCUCACUGCAGCCUCAACUCUCUGGGUUCAAGUGAACCUCCUGCCUUAGUCGCCCAAGUAGCUGGGACUACAGGCGCUUGCCACCGCACCCAGCUAAUUUUUAUUUUUAUUUUGUAGAGACAGGGAUCUCCCUAUGUUACCCAGGCUGGUCUCGAACUCCUGAGCUCAAGUGAUGCUCCCUUCUUAGCCUCCCAAAGUGCUGGGAUUAUAGGCAUGAGCCACCACACCCAGCCCAGAAUCAGAAUUUAACCCAGGCAUCUGGGUUCCAGAUUUGACAUGUUUAAAAGGUAUGAUAUACUUACUACCUUCGAGAAGUGAAGAAUAGAAAGGAAAUUCCUCUUCUGUUUCCGUAAGUCCAACUCUACAACAGUUAGCUUAUCUCUGCCUAUGCAUCAUUAGUUGCCAAGGUAAUGAGACAAUCUCCAAGGUAAGCAUCAUAAAAUGUUCAAAUGAGAUUUAAAUAAGGAACUUAUAUUUUUAGUUUAUGCUACAUUGUGCUUUACUAAAGGCAAUUUAUUUCAUUCAAUACUUCAGAAGCCAUUCUAUUAAGUUUGGAAUGUGAAAUUAUCAUUGAAGGCUUACUUGCCCUAUUCAAUCUGUUACUCUUUUUGAUAGAUAUUUCUCUAGCACUGAGGUUCUAGAAUUCUGGGGCAUGGAAUUACAGCCUCUGUGAACACAUUUCAAGGUGUAAAUCUCCUUGCAAAGGGUUGGGGAAGACAGGGCAACUCUCUACCUAAAAUUUGGGGGAACUGGCCAUAAGACAAAUAGAAUUCUCAUUCAUAUGACUCUGACUGGGAAAAUCUCACUGCCUCAAGGUGCUUCGAAUAAACUUGCCAACUCUGACUAGGGAGCUUGGGAUAUCCCAGCAGCACUUCUUCAGCAGUGGGACCCUUGCAGUCCACCCCUCACCUUUAAGGACCUGUGUUUCUCAGCCUGAGAAGAGAUGCUAAGGAAUCCCAGGAACCCUGUGCAAUUCCUAACAUCUUAGGGGCACAGUUAAACAGUGCACACUAUUUUCUUCCCCAAUCUUUCUAUUCUGAAUUUUGGGGUUCUGUGUUAUCUGCAAUCAUGCAGAUCUCAAGCUUCAAAAAGUGACAAUGACCAAUUUCUCUUAUGAUCCAUUCAUUUAAAGCUGUGGUCAAAACAGACAAAGAAAUUACUGAAAAAGGCUAGAAAGCUUAAGAAUGUUUCAGAAAUUAUGUAAUAUAUUAAAUUGCCUAAAAGUGCAUGUGUCUUUUCAAAAGAUAGCAUCCUUGUUUGUAAUCACAUUCUUAUUGUCUAGACACAAGUUCAGCCUAUAUUUCAUGAAACAUUUUUAUUAUUUCCUUAUCUGGCAAUGGUUUUCUUGAACCUGUGGUCAGAUUAGAAGGUUGGACAGAUGGUACCUUGAAUUUAAAUACAAUGUUUGCUCUGCCUAAGAAGAGUAUUGACUAUAAAAGUCACAGGCUUCGGACCAUUUCCUGUGGGAUUUUUCCACUAUCCUUCCAAUUAGUCAAAAUGAUGUUUCUCUAAACAUGAUCAUUCAUUUUUCUCUGGAGGGUUGCCUUCCAUCCCAUGCAAGAAAGAUGAUCCUGGAAAAUAAAGGAAGCUUUCUACUCUCCGUGCCCCGGUCCCGUGCAAUAUUUAUGAUUAAUUGCAGUCCCUAUGAACGAAUGACGAAAGAAAAAAGCAUUCAGUUUCCUUGUUCUCCUCACAUAAAAAAGCAUUUGUUGCAAUUUGGGUCCCAGCCAACUUUCAUUGUUUAGGCAAUAAUUAGUCAAAUUAUAGCAAUCACUAACAAUCAUAACAGAAAUCAUAUAAUUGUAAUUUAGACCAAUGACCUUGGACUUAUGAAAAUAGGAUGUGGGGUAUUUAAUUGCAUAAUG